RNAcentral lists this small RNA (673 nucleotides) under Arabidopsis thaliana (thale cress). Its description in RNAcentral is "ATSL127050". Lineage: Eukaryota; Viridiplantae; Streptophyta; Magnoliopsida; Brassicales; Brassicaceae. The record is from RNAcentral.
AUAGAAACUCAUGAACAAUAGUCAAACUGUUAAGACUAACCAUAGGCAUAAGCUAUUGAUUGAUUAUAUAUGUGUUUUAUGUUUGGAUCCUAAAUAUAUAAGAGAGUGAAAUCAGCACUAUGCAUGUCACCAACAGAAAGUAAAUAAGAGUAUCAAAUACUAUAACAAGUACCUACAAAUUUGCAAAAGAACGAUCCAACUUGCAAAAAAGGUUCUUAAAUUCAAAAAACUAUUGUCGCUUGGGGGAAAGCUUUAUUUAUAUAAGACCUUUCCUUGCGCCUUAAACCACUGGUUUCAGCCUUUGAGCUCUCAGUCUGCCAGGUCAAUGAGGUUCUGCAGAUAUAUGUGAAAUUAUGAUCAGUUGUUCAUCUUUAAGUGUUCAGACAGUGCAAUAAUAAACAAUUUGUCAGAGUUAAUGAAACAGUAAGCUAUUACUGAACAUAAAAAUCACUUGAUAAAAAGAAAAGAUGUUAUAGCAGCUGCGAGAGGUGUACAACUCCACUUUCAUUAUUGUCAACCAAUGUAUUGAUCAUGGGUGUCAUAAGAGAAAAGUUCUACUAGGUUGCAAAGUGUGUAAAGCAGAGAACUAAGCUAAAGAAUGCAACUAUAAGCUGACUAGAGUAAAAGUAAAGGCUUUAUAGGGUCAACAGAACAACACUAGCUACAUGCAUAG